AUUGAACGCUGGCGGCGUGCUUAACACAUGCAAGUCGUGCGGUAACAGGCGUAGCAAUACGUGCUGACGAGCGGCGAACGGGUGCGUAAUACAUGGGAAUCUGCCCUUUAGUGGGGAAUAACCCGGCGAAAGCCGGGCUAAUGCCGCAUAAGAUCUUCGGAUGAAAGCGGGGGAUCGUAAGACCUCGCGCUGAUGGAUGAGCCCAUGUCGGAUUAGCAGUUGGUGAGGUAACGGCUCACCAAGGCGACGAUCCGUAGCUGGUCUGAGAGGACGGCCAGCCACACUGGGACUGAGACACGGCCCAGACUCCUACGGGAGGCAGCGAGUGGGGAAUAUUGGACAAUGGGCGAAAGCCUGAUCCAGCGACGCCGCGUGUGUGAAGAAGGCCUGC
RNAcentral lists this ribosomal RNA (391 nucleotides) under uncultured bacterium. Its description in RNAcentral is "bacterial SSU rRNA". It matches the Rfam family "Bacterial small subunit ribosomal RNA", at positions 29 to 419 of the family's 1533-position model. The record is from RNAcentral.